RNAcentral lists this non-coding RNA (65 nucleotides) under Paramoeba aestuarina. Lineage: Eukaryota; Discosea; Flabellinia; Dactylopodida; Paramoebidae. The record is from RNAcentral.
UUCUUCUUUCUUCUUUCUUCUUUCUUCUUUCUGUUGGGAAGGAUGGCGGGGGCUUGUGGUUAUUU